Molecule: non-coding RNA, 167 nt
Organism: Megalops cyprinoides (Indo-Pacific tarpon)
Lineage: Eukaryota; Metazoa; Chordata; Actinopteri; Elopiformes; Megalopidae
Product: small Cajal body-specific RNA 1
Exons: 1
Source: RefSeq, a predicted model, not a curated record
CAGCACCAGAUACUGACCUGGCUGUCCUCAGCCUGGCGCCCCCCAGGGCGCUAAACGCUGUGUCCCAGUGGCUUCCAGGUCCCCAAAGGUGCGAGAGAAACAAGAGCCCUGUGAUUUAAGCUCAGAGCGUGAAGACUCGCUCUGUGUUAUAACUCGGUGGCACACGG